UACGGAGGGUGCAAACGUUGCUCGGAAACACUGGGCGUAAAGGGCGUGUAGGCGGGAGAGAAAGUCGGGCGUGAAAUCCCUGGGCUCAACCCAGGAACUGCACUCGAAACUUCUUUUCUUGAGUGCCGGAGAGGAAAGCGGAAUACCUGGUGUAGAGGUGAAAUUCGUAGAUAUCUGGAGGAACACCGGUGGCGAAGGCGGCAUCCUGGACCGACACUGACACUGAGGAGCGAAAGCCAGGGGAGCAAACGGG
RNAcentral lists this ribosomal RNA (253 nucleotides) under uncultured bacterium. Its description in RNAcentral is "partial 16S ribosomal RNA". It matches the Rfam family "Bacterial small subunit ribosomal RNA", at positions 524 to 776 of the family's 1533-position model. The record is from RNAcentral.